Molecule: ribosomal RNA, 586 nt
Filed under: uncultured bacterium
Lineage: Bacteria
Description: bacterial SSU rRNA
Rfam family: Bacterial small subunit ribosomal RNA
Source: RNAcentral
CCUACGGGAGGCAGCAGUGGGGAAUUUUGGACAAUGGGCGCAAGCCUGAUCCAGCCAUGCCGCGUGCGGGAAGAAGGCCUUCGGGUUGUAAACCGCUUUUGUCAGGGAAGAAAAGGUUCUGGAUAAUACCUGGGACUCAUGACGGUACCUGAAGAAUAAGCACCGGCUAACUACGUGCCAGCAGCCGCGGUAAUACGUAGGGUGCAAGCGUUAAUCGGAAUUACUGGGCGUAAAGCGUGCGCAGGCGGUUAUGCAAGACAGAGGUGAAAUCCCCGGGCUCAACCUGGGAACUGCCUUUGUGACUGCAUAGCUAGAGUACGGUAGAGGGGGAUGGAAUUCCGCGUGUAGCAGUGAAAUGCGUAGAUAUGCGGAGGAACACCGAUGGCGAAGGCAAUCCCCUGGACCUGUACUGACGCUCAUGCACGAAAGCGUGGGGAGCAAACAGGAUUAGAUACCCUGGUAGUCCACGCCCUAAACGAUGUCAACUGGUUGUUGGGAGGGUUUCUUCUCAGUAACGUAGCUAACGCGUGAAGUUGACCGCCUGGGGAGUACGGCCGCAAGGUUGAAACGUCAAAGGAAUUGACGG